RNAcentral lists this ribosomal RNA (253 nucleotides) under uncultured bacterium. RNAcentral describes it as "partial 16S ribosomal RNA". It matches the Rfam family "Bacterial small subunit ribosomal RNA", at positions 524 to 776 of the family's 1533-position model. The record is from RNAcentral.
UACGUAGGGACCGAGCGUUGUCCGGAAUCAUUGGGCGUAAAGAGCGUGUAGGCGGCUAUUUAAGUCCUGCGUGAAAUCCUGCGGCUCAACCGCAGACGGUCGUGGGAAACUGGAUGGCUAGAGUGCGGGAGAGGAGAGUGGAAUUCCCGGUGUAGCGGUGAAAUGCGCAGAUAUCGGGAGGAACACCAAUGGCGAAGGCAGCUCGCUGGGACGUAACUGACGCUGAGACGCGAAAGCGUGGGGAGCAAACAGG